CAACUUAGUAAUGGUAGUUUCCAUUUUUGCAUCCAGAUUUCAAAACACUGUCUUCUAUUUCAUUCCCAGUUAGUUGUACACAGUUCAAGAAAAAAUCUCUGCUCAUCCUUGUCUGAUGGGAGUUGCUGUUUCUUCCCCAUUUGCUAAACCCAGUGACGUGAAAAAUGGCUUACAAUCUGUCACUGUGAAAUCCAUUCAUUUUGAUGAAGAUGAAGCCAAAACACUUGUUAGAUCCAUCAGUUACAAUAGUUUAGAGCCAGAGCCAUUGAUAUUAAUAUCUGUUGGUUCUAAAAAGAUGGUAUCAGAGGGAUCGGUUAGCUUCAAAGGGAUCGAUUUGGAGCUAUCGGUUUCGGCUAAGUCGCCUCCAUUGGAUAAACCAGAGAAUGUACCCAUUAAAGCUUUCAUAGAGACCCCAAAGCAAUCACCAGUUUUUGAUCCAAGUAAUCCACAACAUGAGGCUGCAAUAAGGUUACAAAAAGUAUACAAGAGUUUUAGGACAAGGCGAAAGCUAGCGGAUUGCGCGGUUCUUGUCGAGCAAACAUGGUGGAAGCUUUUAGAUUUUGCAGAGCUGAAGAGGAGUUCUAUAUCGUUCUUCGACAUAGGAAAACACGAAACGGCGAUUUCGCGUUGGUCAAGAGCAAGAACCAGAGCUGCUAAAGUUGGUAAAGGUUUAUCCAAGAACGAAAAGGCUCAAAAGCUUGCAUUGCAACAUUGGCUUGAAGCAAUCGAUCCGAGGCAUCGAUACGGACAUAAUUUACACUUUUAUUACCAUCAAUGGCUCCACUCUCAGAGUAAAGAACCCUUUUUUUACUGGCUGGAUAUUGGAGAAGGGAAAGAAGUAAAUAUCGAAAAAUGUCCGAGAUCGAAGCUUCUACUGCAAUGCAUCAAAUAUCUCAGUCCGAUAGAACGGAAGCCUUAUGAAGUUAUGGUGGUAGACGGGAAGUUCGUAUACAAGCAAACAGGGAAGCCUGUCCAUACCAUCGAAGAAACCGGCGAUGCUAAGUGGAUUUUUGUCCUCAGUACAUCGAAGAUCUUGUACGUUGGUGUGAAGAAAAAGGGUACAUUUCAACAUUCGAGUUUCUUGGCAGGUGGUGCCACUAUUGCUGCCGGAAGAUUAGUUGUUGACAAUGGCAUCCUUAAGGCAGUUUGGCCACACAGUGGACAUUACCGUCCAUUAGAAGAAAACUUUAACGACUUCAUUUCAUUUCUAAGGGAGAACAACGUAGAUCUUAACAAUGUCAAGAUGACUCCGGUGGAUGAGGAAGGAAACUUGGCUGACAAGCAAAGAAGCAAUAACCAUCUUAGAUGUAACUCGUCUGAAGAUGACUUUAACUUCGAGGCUGAUGAGAUCAGUGUCAAAGACUCGAUCGAUCAAAUACGGUAGUUGAUUCAUGGGGAAUAUGAAACCGAGUCAAGGAGGUUCCACAGCCUUAGCUGAAAACAAUGUAGCUAUUGUGCCUAGUUGUAAUAAUGACAAUUUGAUGGAUUCGUCUUUGGUGGAUGGUUAUGCGAUAAAGGAGGAAACCGUUACUUCGGAACUGGAUUCAUAUGAAAAUCAUGCAGAUAAUAAGGUGGAAGACCCUUCCUGUUGAAUUGCUUCUUGAAAGGGUUAACUCUAAAAGAGGAUCCACAUGCAAGUGGAGUACAGGAGCAGCCUAACAGAUUCUGGAUUGGUUAUACAAAGAAAACCCUCGAAACUCCAAUUCUGCGCUUGGGAAUAACUGAAGAAAUAAGAACCUUGAGUUUAUCUGUGCUCAAGACGAAAAUUUCAUGACAGAGAAGCAUCCAUUCCUAGAGUGCAGUAUUAAAAAGGAACACUUGCAGCUAACAUACCACAGUCACAAGUACAUUCUUAGUUAAUUCAUUCUUUGGUGUGAAUAGAAAGAUGAUAUAGGACUUGCUUUAUCAUUCUUUUAAAAAACCAGAUCCCCUGUACACAUUUAAAAAAAAACUAUCUUGUACCAUACUCUAGUACAAAAUUUGCUUCACUAUUUGAAUACAGUCUACAAGUGGAUUCACAA
This is an RNA transcript of Gossypium raimondii (Peruvian cotton), 2021 nucleotides long. It is a transcript of the gene named IQ domain-containing protein IQM2, with no coding region annotated. The transcript is spliced from 6 exons. NCBI's taxonomy places the organism in Eukaryota, Viridiplantae, Streptophyta, Magnoliopsida, Malvales, Malvaceae. The record is from RefSeq and is a predicted model, not a curated record.